GUCUUUUUGGAGUUUAUAAAAAGUUUAACCUGCCCAUUGAUAAUAUUAAAAGGCUGCGGUAUUUUGACCGUACAAAGGUAGCAUAAUCAUUAGUUUUUUAAUUGAAAACUUGUAUGAAUGGUUGAAUGAAAUAUUAACUGUUUUAAUUAAAAAUAUUGAAUUUUACUUUUUAAUUAAAAGGUUAAAAUAAAAUUAAAAGACGAGAAGACCCUAUAGAGUUUUAUAUUUAUUAUUUUAUACUUAAAAAAGAUUAUUAAUUAUUAUAUUAUAUAAAGUAUUUUGUUGGGGUGAUAAUAAAAUUUAAUAAACUUUUAUUUAUAAAAAAUUAUAUACAUUAAUAUAUGAAAUUUUGAUCCAUUAUUAAUGAUUAAAAAAUUAAAUUACCUUAGGGAUAACAGCGUAAUUUUUUUUUAAGUUCAUAUUAAUAAAAAAUUUUGCGACCUCGAUGUUGGAUUAAGAUUUAAUUUUAGGUGCAGAAGUUUAAAUUUUAAGUCUGUUCGACUUUUAAAUUCUU
RNAcentral lists this ribosomal RNA (514 nucleotides) under Leptosciarella (Leptospina) sp. 2 nr. dentata SS-2012. RNAcentral's name for it is "partial 16S ribosomal RNA". Lineage: Eukaryota; Metazoa; Arthropoda; Insecta; Diptera; Sciaridae. The record is from RNAcentral.